GAUGAAGAACGUAGCGAAAUGCGAUAAGUAGUGUGAAUUGCAGAAUUCCGUGAAUCAUCGAAUCUUUGAACGCACAUUGCGCCUUCUGGUAUUCCGGAAGGCAUGCCUGUUCGAGAGUCAUUAACAACCGUUUCGAUCCCUUUCUUUCAGAAAUUACAAAGAGGAAAAGGGUUUGGUUAUGGUGGAGGAGGGAAAGCGAGCGUUUAGCCUGUAAAAAAAGAGGCUGUGUUCCGCCUCCCCCCCAAAAUUGUACAGGCGGUCGUGUGCGCCCACGCAUCGAGGUGUUGUAAAAGCUGCCACGGCACUUUUCACCUGUGCAGUGCGAGAUUGGCCAGCCGGUUUAAAAACCCCUCCAAACAAUCAAAGGUUGACCUCGGAUCAGGUAGGGAUACCCGCUGAACUUAAGCAUAUCAAUAAGCGGAGGA
Molecule: unclassified non-coding RNA, 425 nt
Filed under: soil metagenome
Description: partial contains 5.8S ribosomal RNA, internal transcribed spacer 2, and large subunit ribosomal RNA
Rfam family: 5.8S ribosomal RNA (bases 1-120)
Source: RNAcentral